GACGAACGCUGGCGGCGUGCUUAACACAUGCAAGUCGAACGGUAAGGCCCUUCGGGGUACACGAGUGGCGAACGGGUGAGUAACACGUGGGUGAUCUGCCCUGCACUUCGGGAUAAGCCUGGGAAACUGGGUCUAAUACCGGAUAGGACCACUGCCUGCAUGGGUGGCGGUGGAAAGCUUUUGCGGUGUGGGAUGGGCCCGCGGCCUAUCAGCUUGUUGGUGGGGUGAUGUCCUACCAAGGCGACGACGGGUAGCCGGCCUGAGAGGGUGACCGGCCACACUGGGACUGAGAUACGGCCCAGACUCCUACGGGAGGCAGCAGUGGGGAAUAUUGCACAAUGGGCGCAAGCCUGAUGCAGCGACGCCGCGUGAGGGAUGACGGCCUUCGGGUUGUAAACCUCUUUCAGCACCGACGAAGCGCAAGUGACGGUAGGUGCAGAAGAAGGACCGGCCAACUACGUGCCAGCCGCCGCAGUAA
This 478-nucleotide ribosomal RNA is filed under the name uncultured bacterium. Its description in RNAcentral is "partial 16S ribosomal RNA". It matches the Rfam family "Bacterial small subunit ribosomal RNA", at positions 28 to 523 of the family's 1533-position model. The record is from RNAcentral.